This 1353-nucleotide ribosomal RNA is filed under the name Clostridiaceae bacterium FR012. Its description in RNAcentral is "bacterial SSU rRNA". It matches the Rfam family "Bacterial small subunit ribosomal RNA". Lineage: Bacteria; Bacillati; Bacillota; Clostridia; Eubacteriales; Clostridiaceae. The record is from RNAcentral.
AUGCNNNGGCGAUGAGCUCUUCGGGAGUGGAUUAGCGGCGGACGGGUGAGUACACGUGGGUACCUGCCUCAUAGAGGGGAAUAGCCUUUCGAAAGGAAGAUUAAUACCGCAUAAGAUUGUAGUACCGCAUGGUAAGCAAUUAAAGGAGUAAUCCGCUAUGAGAUGGACCCGCGUCGCAUUAGCUAGUUGGUGAGGUAACGGCUCACCAAGGCGACGAUGCGUAGCCGACCUGAGAGGGUGAUCGGCCACAUUGGGACUGAGACACGGCCCAGACUCCUACGGGAGGCAGCAGUGGGGAAUAUUGCACAAUGGGGGAAACCCUGAUGCAGCAACGCCGCGUGAGUAAUGACGGUCUUCGGAUUGUAAAGCUCUGUCUUUAGGGACGAUAAUGACGGUACCUAAGGAGGAAGCCACGGCUAACUACGUGCCAGCAGCCGCGGUAAUACGUAGGUGGCAAGCGUUGUCCGGAUUUACUGGGCGUAAGGGAGCGUAGGUGGAUAUUUAAGUGGGAUGUGAAUACCCGGGCUUAACCUGGGUGCUGCAUUCAAACCUGGAUAUCUAGAGUGCAGGAGAGGAAAGGAGAUUCCUAGUGUGCGUGAAUGCGUAGAGAUUAGGAGAUACAGUGCGAGGCCGCUUUCUGGACUGUAACUGACCUGAGGCUCGAAGCGUGGGAGCAAACAGGAUUAGGAUACCUUGGUAGUCCACGCCGUAACGAUGAAUACUAGUGUAGGGGUUGUCAUGACCUCUGUGCCGCCCUAACGCAUUAAGUAUCCGCUGGGAGUACGUCGCAGAUUAAAACUCAAAGGAAUUGACGGGGGCCCGCACAAGCAGCGGAGCAUGUGGUUUAAUUCGAAGCAACGCGAAGAACCUUACCUAGACUUGACAUCUCCUGAAUUACUCUGUAAUGGAGGAACCCACUUCGGUGGCAGGAAGACAGGUGGUGCAUGGUUGUCGUCAGCUCGUGUCGUGAGAUGUUGGGUUAAGUCCCGCAACGAGCGCAACCCUUAUUGUUAGUUGCUACCAUUUAGUUGAGCACUCUAGCGAGACUGCCCGGGUUAACCGGGAGGAAGGUGGGGAUGACGUCAAAUCAUCAUGCCCCUUAUGUCUAGGGCUACACACGUGCUACAAUGGUCGGUACAAUGAGAUGCAACCUCGCGAGAGUGAGCAAAACUAUAAAACCGAUCUCAGUUCGGAUUGUAGGCUGAAACUCGCCUACAUGAAGCUGGAGUUGCUAGUAAUCGCGAAUCAGAAUGUCGCGGUGAAUACGUUCCCGGGCCUUGUAGCAGAAACGCCCGACACACCAUGAGAGUUGGAAAUACCGAAAGUUCGUGGAGUAAGCGCAAGGAGGCAGCA